UACGUAGGGGGCUAGCGUUAUCCGGAUUUACUGGGCGUAAAGGGUGCGUAGGCGGUCUUUUAAGUCAGGAGUGAAAGGCUACGGCUCAACCGUAGUAAGCUCUUGAAACUGGAGGACUUGAGUGCAGGAGAGGAGAGUGGAAUUCCUAGUGUAGCGGUGAAAUGCGUAGAUAUUAGGAGGAACACCAGUAGCGAAGGCGGCUCUCUGGACUGUAACUGACGCUGAGGCACGAAAGCGUGGGGAGCAAACAGG
This 252-nucleotide ribosomal RNA is filed under the name Intestinibacter bartlettii DSM 16795. RNAcentral's name for it is "partial 16S ribosomal RNA". It matches the Rfam family "Bacterial small subunit ribosomal RNA", at positions 524 to 776 of the family's 1533-position model. The record is from RNAcentral. Lineage: Bacteria; Bacillati; Bacillota; Clostridia; Peptostreptococcales; Peptostreptococcaceae. RNAcentral also lists the same sequence under 3 other names.